Molecule: ribosomal RNA, 201 nt
Filed under: uncultured bacterium
Lineage: Bacteria
Description: partial 16S ribosomal RNA
Rfam family: Bacterial small subunit ribosomal RNA
Source: RNAcentral
GACGUAGGGCGCGAGCGUUGUCCGGAUUUAUUGGGCGUAAAGAGCUCGUAGGCGGCUUGUCGCGUCGAAUGUGAAAUCUCAGGGCUCAACUCUGACAUUGCAUUCGAUACGGGCAGGCUAGAGUUCGGUAGGGGAGACUGAAUUCCUGGUGUAGCGGUGAAAUGCGCAGAUAUCAGGAGGAACACCGGUGGCGAAGGCGGG